RNAcentral lists this ribosomal RNA (845 nucleotides) under uncultured bacterium. RNAcentral's name for it is "bacterial SSU rRNA". It matches the Rfam family "Bacterial small subunit ribosomal RNA", at positions 21 to 901 of the family's 1533-position model. The record is from RNAcentral.
GGCUCAGAAUCAACGCUGGCGGCGCGCUUAACACAUGCAAGUCGCACGAGAAAGUCCGCAAGGAUGAGUAAAGUGGCGCACGGGUGAGUAACACGUGGAUGAUCUACCCUUUAGUGGGGAAUAACCCUGGGAAACCGGGGCUAGUACCGCAUAAGUCCGAGAGGAGAAAGCCGAAAGGCGCUGGAGGAAGAGUCCGCGGUCGAUUAGCUAGUUGGCGGGGUAAAAGCCCACCAAGGCUGCGAUCGAUAGCCGGCCUGAGAGGGCACACGGCCACACUGGCACUGAAACACGGGCCAGACUCCUACGGGAGGCAGCAGUGGGGAAUCUUGCACAAUGGGGGAAACCCUGAUGCAGCGACGCCGCGUGAGCGAUGAAGCCCUUCGGGGUGUAAAGCUCUUUCGACGGGAACGAUAAUGACGGUACCCGGAGAAGAAGCUGCGGCUAACUACGUGCCAGCAGCCGCGGUAAUACGUAGGCAGCGAGCGUUGUUCGGAAUUACUGGGCGUAAAGAGUGCGUAGGCGGUGCUCUAAGUUUGGUGUGAAAUCUCCCGGCUUAACCGGGAGGGUGCGCCGAAGACUGGAGUGCUUGAGUGUGGGAGAGGAAAGCGGAAUUCCUGGUGUAGCGGUGAAAUGCGUAGAUAUCAGGAGGAACACCUGCGGUGUAGACGGCUUUCUGGACCACGACUGACGCUGAGGCACGAAAGCGUGGGUAGCAAACAGGAUUAGAUACCCUGGUAGUCCACGCCCUAAACGAUGCAUACUUGGUGUGGGCAGUUCAUUCUGUCCGUGCCGGAGCUAACGCGUUAAGUAUGCCGCCUGGGGAGUACGGUCGCAGGGCUGAAACU